RNAcentral lists this ribosomal RNA (506 nucleotides) under uncultured bacterium. RNAcentral's name for it is "partial 16S ribosomal RNA". It matches the Rfam family "Bacterial small subunit ribosomal RNA", at positions 29 to 523 of the family's 1533-position model. The record is from RNAcentral.
AGUGAACGCUGGCGGUAGGCCUAACACAUGCAAGUCGAACGGCAGCACAGGAGAGCUUGCUCUCUGGGUGGCGAGUGGCGGACGGGUGAGGAAUACAUCGGAAUCUACUUUUUCGUGGGGGAUAACGUAGGGAAACUUACGCUAAUACCGCAUACGACCUACGGGUGAAAGCAGGGGAUCUUCGGACCUUGCGCGAUUGAAUGAGCCGAUGUCGGAUUAGCUAGUUGGCGGGGUAAAGGCCCACCAAGGCGACGAUCCGUAGCUGGUCUGAGAGGAUGAUCAGCCACACUGGAACUGAGACACGGUCCAGACUCCUACGGGAGGCAGCAGUGGGGAAUAUUGGACAAUGGGCGCAAGCCUGAUCCAGCCAUACCGCGUGGGUGAAGAAGGCCUUCGGGUUGUAAAGCCCUUUUGUUGGGAAGGAAAUCCAGCUGGUUAAUACCCGGUUGGAAUGACGGUACCCAAAGAAUAAGCACCGGCUAACUUCGUGCCAGCAGCCGCCGUAA